This is a non-coding RNA of Paramuricea clavata, 735 nucleotides long. The record is from the annotation of a GenBank genome assembly. Lineage: Eukaryota; Metazoa; Cnidaria; Anthozoa; Malacalcyonacea; Plexauridae.
AUCCAAAGGGGCAGGAACAAUAUCCUAAAGGGGUAGAAAGACAUCCAUAGGGGUUCCAAAAUUGCAUCCAAUGGGGUUCCAAAAUUAUUAAAAGGUAUUAUGAAGAGACCCCUCAAUAGGGUGUGGGGGGGGGGCUAUAUUAGAUGGAAUGGCCCAGUGUGCUGCAACAACUUUUAAAAUUUGUAUAUAUGUUUUUAAGGCACAAUAUGUGAUGGAGUUUGAUAUGAUGAUCAGCACAACCUGAAGGUCUUGACUGAAUGAACAACUUAUCUGAUAUACUCCUACUUCCAAUACUUUGCUGUAUAUUAUCACCAGCUCAGAUGUCAGUUGGAUCACUUUGAAUGAACAUUGGAGUGGCACAAUAAAGUGUCUGUAUUAGGGAGGAGUCUAACUGAAGUAAAAGGCACACUUUUGGAUAUUAAUCUGAAUCAUAGCAACUACAUAUACUGUAGGUUUCAAAUUAGUUUGAACAAUGAACAACUGAAAAUAGAAAUUUAUUUAAUUGGAAACACUUAAAGGAAUUACAACAUAUUAUAUGAUAGUCAUAUGUACAUGAUUAUAGGUAUAUUCAUUAGUUUUACUAGAUGAUAUUUAUGACUAUCCUGGGACAACAUUUUAUUUUUCCCUGAGAUUUUACUUGCAUGAUAGUAAUAAGUUUAAUAGUAACAGAGAAGUGUGAUGGAUAUGUGCAAGUAAUUAUCAUUAGAAAUACAAAUAUUAAACUGUAAUUUUGAC